GUCGAACGAUGAAGGAGAGCUUGCUCUCUGGAUUAGUGGCGAACGGGUGAGUAACACGUGAGUAACCUGCCCUUGACUCUGGGAUAAGCGUUGGAAACGACGUCUAAUACCGGAUACGACCAGCCUCGGCAUCGAGUGUUGGUGGAAAGAAUUUUGGUCAAGGAUGGACUCGCGGCCUAUCAGGUAGUUGGUGAGGUAAUGGCUCACCAAGCCUACGACGGGUAGCCGGCCUGAGAGGGUGACCGGCCACACUGGGACUGAGACACGGCCCAGACUCCUACGGGAGGCAGCAGUGGGGAAUAUUGCACAAUGGGCGAAAGCCUGAUGCAGCAACGCCGCGUGAGGGACGACGGCCUUCGGGUUGUAAACCUCUUUUAGCAGGGAAGAAGCGAAAGUGACGGUACCUGCAGAAAAAGCACCGGCUAACUACGUGCCAGCAGCCGCGGUAAUACGUAGGGUGCAAGCGUUGUCCGGAAUUAUUGGGCGUAAAGAGCUCGUAGGCGGUUUGUCGCGUCUGCUGUGAAAACUGGAGGCUCAACCUCCAGCCUGCAGUGGGUACGGGCAGACUAGAGUGCGGUAGGGGAGAUUGGAAUUCCUGGUGUAGCGGUGGAAUGCGCAGAUAUCAGGAGGAACACCGAUGGCGAAGGCAGAUCUCUGGGCCGUAACUGACGCUGAGGAGCGAAAGGGUGGGGAGCAAACAGGCUUAGAUACCCUGGUAGUCCAC
This 724-nucleotide ribosomal RNA is filed under the name Microbacteriaceae bacterium ZD04. Its description in RNAcentral is "bacterial SSU rRNA". It matches the Rfam family "Bacterial small subunit ribosomal RNA", at positions 61 to 798 of the family's 1533-position model. Lineage: Bacteria; Bacillati; Actinomycetota; Actinomycetes; Micrococcales; Microbacteriaceae. The record is from RNAcentral.